This 409-nucleotide ribosomal RNA is filed under the name uncultured bacterium. RNAcentral describes it as "bacterial SSU rRNA". It matches the Rfam family "Bacterial small subunit ribosomal RNA", at positions 541 to 952 of the family's 1533-position model. The record is from RNAcentral.
UUAUCCGGAUUUAUUGGGUUUAAAGGGAGCGUAGGCGGGUGCUUAAGUCAGUUGUGAAAGUUUGCGGCUCAACCGUAAAAUUGCAGUUGGUACUGGGCGCCUUGAGUGCAGCAUAGGUAGGCGGAAUUCGUGGUGUAGCGGUGAAAUGCUUAGAUAUCACGAAGAACUCCGAUUGCGAAGGCAGCUUACUGGACUGUAACUGACGCUGAUGCUCGAAAGUGUGGGUAUCAAACAGGAUUAGAUACCCUGGUAGUCCACACAGUAAACGAUGAAUACUCGCUGUUGGCGAUACACAGUCAGCGGCCAAGCGAAAGCAUUAAGUAUUCCACCUGGGGAGUACGCCGGCAACGGUGAAACUCAAAGGAAUUGACGGGGGCCCGCACAAGCGGAGGAACAUGUGGUUUAAUUC